AAUUUGGAUUUUGGCCAAUUUUGGAAGUUCCCUUUCCCAGGCUGUCCAUUUUGCUUUAAUACUUUCAGAAAUAUCUGGAUCAUCCCAUCCUCGUGCAGGUUUAGUCCACAAUUGCUGUAGUAGAAUCUUAGCACAGGUAGUAAAGGGAAUUAUGAAGCCUAAAGGAUCAUACUGUCGAGCGAGAAUAUGAUACAGGAUUAGUAAUGUCAAGCUCUUAUAUUUCACAGGGUGAUGCUUAUAUCCCAGAAUAUCCUACAUUGCCAGCUCAUACCAAGAGUGCCUUCACAUGGGUCCUUACAAUCAUGGCUCAGCCAUAGCUCUGUUUGAGGGGAACGUGCUUCAGCAGACAGUAGGAAAACUCUGCAAACAAUUAUCCACAUAAAAGGAGAAAGCGUAACAAAAGGGGCUUGUCUGAAGGCAACAAUCGAACCUGAUGGAACAUGGCCCGAACAUCACCACUGACUGCAAUUUGAUGUUCUCUGAAACGAAGCAGAACUCCCAGAAGAGAAGGACCCAGGGUAGGACCAGAUUGUGAUGAUGCCGUCAAGACGUGUUUCUGCUGUGAUGGAGGCCUGUGAUGCUGGAAUGCUGAAGAUUAUGCCUGAGUGGAGCAUGCAUGCUAAAUGGCUUCUUUAGUAUUUUAUUUAUUUUUAUUUUAUUUUAUUUCCAAAUAAAAAAUGUUUUGAGGGAAUCUGGUGUUUAUCACAUAAUUCUUGAAAUGUAAGAAGUAUUCCAUCCAUAUACAAGUCUUUAAUAGUCUGAAUACCUUUAGUUUUCCAUAGUUUAAAUCCUCCAUCCUUAUAUUUAUUAUUAUUUAUUGUUAGACAGUUUCUAAAUGGUCUUGAUGAAUGUGAAGGGGUCAUGUUUGCCUUCUUGUUCUUAAUUACAACAUUUAUAAAUUUUGUAAGCUAUUGUAUUUUGCAGAAAAUCUUAAUUACAACAUGUAUAAAUGUUGUAAGCUAUUGCAUUUUGCAGAAAAUCUUAAUUAAAUGUGUUGAUUAAAUGUAAA
This is a long non-coding RNA of Tachysurus fulvidraco (yellow catfish), 1009 nucleotides long. RefSeq lists it as uncharacterized. The record is from RefSeq and is a predicted model, not a curated record. NCBI's taxonomy places the organism in Eukaryota, Metazoa, Chordata, Actinopteri, Siluriformes, Bagridae. The transcript is spliced from 4 exons.